RNAcentral lists this ribosomal RNA (453 nucleotides) under uncultured bacterium. Its description in RNAcentral is "bacterial SSU rRNA". It matches the Rfam family "Bacterial small subunit ribosomal RNA", at positions 330 to 794 of the family's 1533-position model. The record is from RNAcentral.
UCCAGACUCCUACGGGAGGCAGCAGUCGAGAAUCAUUCACAAUGGGGGAAACCCUGAUGGUGCGACGCCGCGUGGGGGAAUGAAGGUCUUCGGAUUGUAAACCCCUGUCAUGUGGGAGCAAAUUAAAAAGAUAGUACCACAAGAGGAAGAGACGGCUAACUCUGUGCCAGCAGCCGCGGUAAUACGGGGGGUGCAAGCGUUGUCCGGAAUCAUUGGGCGUAAAGCGUUCGUAGGCGGUAUGUCAAGUCUGAUGUUAAAGCCCGGGGCUCAACUCCGGUUCGGCAUUGGAUACUGGCAAACUAGAAUGUGGUAGAGGUAAAGGGAAUUCCUGGUGUAGCGGUGAAAUGCGUAGAUAUCAGGAGGAACAUCGGUGGCGAAAGCGCUUUACUGGACCAUUAUUGACGCUGAGGAACGAAAGCCAGGGGAGCAAAUGGGAUUAGAUACCCUGGUAUA